This 121-nucleotide ribosomal RNA is filed under the name Helianthus annuus (common sunflower). The record is from RNAcentral. Lineage: Eukaryota; Viridiplantae; Streptophyta; Magnoliopsida; Asterales; Asteraceae.
ACCAACGCGUUUUAUGCUUAGUUGGUUGUGGAGCACAUCAAAAUUCCACAAUUAAGCUUGCUCAUGUGAGAGUAGUAUCAGGAUGGGUGACUUCCUAGAAAGUCUCCACCGUUCGUAAGUU